Lutra lutra (Eurasian river otter) is the source of this 410-nucleotide long non-coding RNA. RefSeq lists it as uncharacterized. NCBI's taxonomy places the organism in Eukaryota, Metazoa, Chordata, Mammalia, Carnivora, Mustelidae. The transcript has 3 exons. The record is from RefSeq and is a predicted model, not a curated record.
CUCGCGCACACCUCCGAUGGUCUUUUUGCUCUUGCAAGAGAGAGUGCUGUCCGAUGGAUGGAUUCAGUGGUGGCAUUUACCUUCGGAGCCAAACUCAUUCAAAGACUCCGAAAGAAAAGCAACUCAUCUUCCAUUAUGAGUACAAGUCGGUGAUCCAGGUAAGAGUAAGGACUCCCCACAGCAGGACAACGGUGGCCUUGUCUGAAGUCUAUCAGUCGUCUUUAUAAGCUAACUUCUUCAGAUUGGUUGAUUCCAACUUCCCUGGAGACCCAAACACUGGCAGUUCAAGGGGCCGACAGAGAAGAAAGGCAUAUCUGAAAGGGACCUUGAAUGUGAGGCUGACUUUGUAGAGCAGCAAUGGGGCCGCUGAGUCAGGACUUGACACCAGAGUUUCUGCUCAACCAUCUGCA